UGCGAAAGCGUGGGAGCAAACGGGAUUAGAUACCCCGGUAGUCACGCCGUAAACGAUGUCUACUAGCCGUUGGAGGACUUGAUCCUUUAGUGGCGCAGCUAACGCGAUAAGUAGACCGCCUGGGGAGUACGGUCGCAAGAUUAAAACUCAAAUGAAUUGACGGGGGCCCGCACAAGCGGUGGAGCAUGUGGUUUAAUUCGAAGCAACGCGAAGAACCUUACCUACUCUUGACAUCCAGUGAACUUUUGAGAGAUCAAUUGGUGCCUUCGGGAACACUGAGACAGGUGCUGCAUGGCUGUCGUCAGCUCGUGUUGUGAAAUGUUGGGUUAAGUCCCGUAACGAGCGCAACCCUUGUCCUUAGUUACCAUCAUUAAGUUGGGGACUCUAAGGAGACUGCCGGUGACAAACCGGAGGAAGGCGGGGACGACGUCAAGUCAUCAUGGCCCUUACGAGUAGGGCUACACACGUGCUACAAUGGCAUGUACAAAGGGUUGCCAAGCCGCGAGGUGGAGCUAAUCCCAUAAAGCAUGUCGUAGUCCGGAUUGGAGUCUGCAACUCGACUCCAUGAAGUCGGAAUCGCUAGUAAUCGUGAAUCAGAAUGUCACGGUGAAUACGUUCCCGGGCCUUGUACACACCGCCCGUCACACCAUGGGAGUGGGUUGCUCCAGAAGUAGAUAGCUUAACCUUCGGGAGGGCGUUUACCACGGAGUGAUUCAUGACUGGGGUGAAGUCGUAACAAGGUAACCGU
This 748-nucleotide ribosomal RNA is filed under the name uncultured bacterium. RNAcentral describes it as "bacterial SSU rRNA". It matches the Rfam family "Bacterial small subunit ribosomal RNA", at positions 752 to 1503 of the family's 1533-position model. The record is from RNAcentral.